This 403-nucleotide ribosomal RNA is filed under the name uncultured bacterium. RNAcentral's name for it is "bacterial SSU rRNA". It matches the Rfam family "Bacterial small subunit ribosomal RNA", at positions 917 to 1322 of the family's 1533-position model. The record is from RNAcentral.
GGGCCCGCACAAGCGGUGGAGCAUGUGGUUUAAUUCGAUGAUACGCGAGGAACCUUACCAGGGCUUAAAUGUAGAACGACCGAUUUGGAAACAAGUCUUCUCUUUGAGCGGUCUACAAGGUGCUGCAUGGUUGUCGUCAGCUCGUGCCGUGAGGUGUCGGGUUAAGUCCCUUAACGAGCGCAACCCCUAUCUCUAGUUGCCAGCGGAUAAUGCCGGGGACUCUAGAGAAACUGCCCGUGCAAACGGUGAGGAAGGUGGGGAUGACGUCAAAUCAUCACGGCCCUUACGUCCUGGGCUACACACGUGCUACAAUGGUCGGUACAGAGGGCAGCUACCACGUGAGUGGAUGCAAAUCUCAAAAAGCUGUCUCAGUUCGGAUUGUUGUCUGCAACUCGACAACAUG